UGGAAUCAUAUUUAAUUGGUUCAUCGAAACUAUGAGAAGGUUUAUGGAAUCAUAUUUAAUUGGUUCAUCGAAACCAAGCUUCAGACGAUGUAACCGGUAACCCCUCCAAGUGGCAUAUCCCUGGGGUGGGGGAGGCCGUGGGUUUGAACUCUCUUUUUUACGAUCAAUACAUUUGGGAACAUGAAUACAUUACGAGACAUAUAGUUGGAACCCCUUCUAUCCUGGGUUGGGAACUACCUUUUAAAAAUGGCUGGAUCCGCCCCUGCCUCUCCACUUUUUAUCCCCUGAGUUUAAGCUAAAAGGUAUCAUUUGUAAAUUGGUAAGUUGCCAGUCUAAGAGUAGUUUUAAAGAUAAAUAGACAU
RNAcentral lists this long non-coding RNA (362 nucleotides) under Mytilus galloprovincialis (Mediterranean mussel). The record is from RNAcentral. Lineage: Eukaryota; Metazoa; Mollusca; Bivalvia; Mytilida; Mytilidae.